UACGUAGGUGGCAAGCGUUGUCCGGAUUUACUGGGCGUAAAGGAUGCGUAGGUGGAUAUGCAAGUCAGAUGUGAAAUACCCGGGCUUAACUCGGGUGCUGCAUUUGAAACUAUAUAUCUAGAGUGCAGGAGAGGUAAGUGGAAUUCCUAGUGUAGCGGUGAAAUGCGUAGAUAUUAGGAGGAACACCAGUGGCGAAGGCGACUUUCUGGACUGUAACUGACGCUGAGGCAUGAAAGCGUGGGGAGCAAACAGG
This 253-nucleotide ribosomal RNA is filed under the name uncultured bacterium. RNAcentral's name for it is "partial 16S ribosomal RNA". It matches the Rfam family "Bacterial small subunit ribosomal RNA", at positions 524 to 776 of the family's 1533-position model. The record is from RNAcentral.